This 636-nucleotide ribosomal RNA is filed under the name Salacia desmoides. RNAcentral describes it as "partial large subunit ribosomal RNA". It matches the Rfam family "Bacterial large subunit ribosomal RNA", at positions 1797 to 2616 of the family's 2925-position model. Lineage: Eukaryota; Metazoa; Cnidaria; Hydrozoa; Leptothecata; Sertulariidae. The record is from RNAcentral.
CGACUGUUUACCAAAAACAUAGCCCUAGUUAUAAUCUAAGGUGUAACCUGCCCAAUGAUUUUUAACAAAUAUAUUUAAAUUAUAUAAAAAAAAAUUUAAAGGACGCGGUAACCUUGACCGUGAUAAUGUAGCAUAAUCAUUUGCCAUUUAAUUGAUGGAUAGUAUGAAUGGUUGAACGAAUAUUUCACUGUCUUAAAAAGAAAUCCCCAAAAAUUAGAAUAAUAGUAAAGAUACUAUUUAAAAUUGUAAGACGAAAAGACCCUAUAGAGCUUAACUAUAAUCUUUAUAAAAAUAUUUAAUAUCAUUAUUCGAAUAUAAAGACUGGUAGUUUAGUUGGGGCGACUAUCUUUUAAAAACAACAAAGAUAAGCAAAAUAAAUAAUUAUUUAUUUAUUGUAUAACUAAUAAGUUUAACAAUUACAAAAGUAGGCUAUAAUGACCCGUUAUAAUUUUAUAAAAAAAAUAACGAUCAAUAAAUAAAAGCUACCUUAGGGAUAACAGGAUAAUUUUAUUCUAGAGACCUAAUCGAAAAUAAAGUUUGUCACCUCUAUGUUGAAUUAAGAUAACCUGAUAAUGCAGCAGUUAUCGAAGGUAGGUCUGUUCGACCUUUAAAAUCUUACAUGAUUUGAGUUCAUUC